ACGGAAGGCAGCAGUGGGGAAUAUUGGGCAAUGGGCGCAAGCCUGACCCAGCAACGCCGCGUGAAGGAAGAAGGCUUUCGGGUUGUAAACUUCUUUUGUGAGGGACGAGAAGAAGACGGUACCUCAUGAAUAAGCCACGACUAACUACGUGCCAGCAGCCGCGGUAAUACGUAGGUGGCAAGCGUUGUCCGGAUUUACUGGGUGUAAAGGGCGUGUAGCCAGGCCGGCAAGUCAGAUGUGAAAUCCAUGGGCUUAACUCAUGAACUGCAUUUGAAACUGUAGCCCUUGAGUAUCGGAGAGGCAAGCGGAAUUCCUAGUGUAGCGGUGAAAUGCGUAGAUAUUAGGAGGAACACCAGUGGCGAAGGCGGCUUGCUGGACGACAACUGACGCUGAGGCGCGAAAGCGUGGGGAGCAAACAGGAUUAGAUACCCUGUA
RNAcentral lists this ribosomal RNA (435 nucleotides) under uncultured Clostridium sp. RNAcentral describes it as "partial 16S ribosomal RNA". It matches the Rfam family "Bacterial small subunit ribosomal RNA", at positions 341 to 791 of the family's 1533-position model. Lineage: Bacteria; Bacillati; Bacillota; Clostridia; Eubacteriales; Clostridiaceae. The record is from RNAcentral.